This is a non-coding RNA of Rhamnusium bicolor, 75 nucleotides long. The record is from the annotation of a GenBank genome assembly. NCBI's taxonomy places the organism in Eukaryota, Metazoa, Arthropoda, Insecta, Coleoptera, Cerambycidae.
GGCUUAGUGGUCUAGUGGUAAGGAUACUUGCUUCUCACCCUGGAGUCCCGAGUUCAAGCCCCAGCUGAGGAGCUA